UACGGAGGGUGCAAGCAUUGAUCGGAAUUACUGGGCGUAAAGGGCGCGUAGGCGGUUAGAUAAGUCAGAUGUGAAAUUCCGGGGCUCAACCCCGGAGCUGCAUUUGAAACUAUAAGACUAGAGUACAGUUAGGGAAAACGGAAUUCCACGUGUAGCGGUGAAAUGCGUAGAUAUGUGGAAGAACACCGGUGGUGAAGACGGUUUUCUGGGCUGAAACUGACGCUGAGGCGCGAAAGCUAGGGGAGCAAACAGG
RNAcentral lists this ribosomal RNA (253 nucleotides) under uncultured bacterium. RNAcentral's name for it is "partial 16S ribosomal RNA". It matches the Rfam family "Bacterial small subunit ribosomal RNA", at positions 524 to 776 of the family's 1533-position model. The record is from RNAcentral.